RNAcentral lists this ribosomal RNA (253 nucleotides) under uncultured bacterium. RNAcentral's name for it is "partial 16S ribosomal RNA". It matches the Rfam family "Bacterial small subunit ribosomal RNA", at positions 524 to 776 of the family's 1533-position model. The record is from RNAcentral.
UACGGAGGGUGCAAGCGUUAUCCGGAAUCACUGGGUUUAAAGGGUGCGUAGGCGGCGCAAUAAGUCAGAGGUGAAAGCCUGCAGCUCAACUGUAGAAUUGCCUUUGAUACUGCUGCGCUUGAAUCAGGUUGAGGUUGGCGGAAUGUGGCAUGUAGCGGUGAAAUGCAUAGAGAUGCCAGAGAACACCAAUUGCGAAGGCAGCUGACUGGGCCUGAAUUGACGCUGAGGCACGAAAGAGUGGGGAGCAAACAGG